AACGAACGCUGGCGGCAUGCCUAACACAUGCAAGUCGAACGAGACCUUCGGGUCUAGUGGCGCACGGGUGCGUAACGCGUGGGAACCUGCCCUUAGGUUCGGAAUAACUCGCCGAAAGGGGUGCUAAUACCGGAUAAUGUCUUCGGACCAAAGAUUUAUCGCCUUUGGAUGGGCCCGAGUUGGAUUAGCUAGUUGGUAGGGUAAAAGCCUACCAAGGCGACGAUCCAUAGCUGGUCUGAGAGGAUGAUCAGCCACACUGGGACUGGGACACGGCCCAGACUCCUACGGGAGGCAGCAGUGGGGAAUAUUGGACGAUGGGCGAGAGCAUGAUCCAGCAAUGCCGCGUGAGUGAUGAAGGCCUGAGGGUUGUAAAGCUCUUUUACCCGGGAUGAUAAUGACGGUACCGGGAGAAUAAGCUCCGGCUAACUCCGUG
This 433-nucleotide ribosomal RNA is filed under the name uncultured bacterium. Its description in RNAcentral is "partial 16S ribosomal RNA". It matches the Rfam family "Bacterial small subunit ribosomal RNA", at positions 29 to 507 of the family's 1533-position model. The record is from RNAcentral.